UACUGAUCCUCCUUCCUGAUGAACUGUAAUGCCAUUAAUUUAGUGUUGCAGGAAGUCUGGACUGUUACCUUGAAAAAUUAGUGUUUAAAGUAGGUUAACGCUUGAAUACAUUAGCAUGGAAUAAUGAAAUAGGACAUUAGAUUCUAUUUUGAGGAUUAAUGUAAUGGUUAAUAGGGAUAGUUGGGAGCAUUAGUAUUCAAUUAUCAGAGGUGAAAUUCUUGGAUUUAUUGAAAGACUAACUACUGCAAAAACAUUUGCACAAGGAUGUCUUCAUUAAUCAAGAAUGAAAGUUAGAGGAUCAAAGAUGAUCUGAUACCAUCGUAGUUUUAACCAUAAAUUAUGCCGACUAGGCACCUUAC
RNAcentral lists this ribosomal RNA (359 nucleotides) under uncultured Rhizophagus. RNAcentral's name for it is "bacterial SSU rRNA". It matches the Rfam family "Eukaryotic small subunit ribosomal RNA", at positions 688 to 1058 of the family's 1831-position model. Lineage: Eukaryota; Fungi; Glomeromycota; Glomeromycetes; Glomerales; Glomeraceae. The record is from RNAcentral.